Molecule: ribosomal RNA, 253 nt
Filed under: uncultured bacterium
Lineage: Bacteria
Description: partial 16S ribosomal RNA
Rfam family: Bacterial small subunit ribosomal RNA
Source: RNAcentral
UACGUAGGUGGCAAGCGUUGUCCGGAUUUAUUGGGCUUAAAGGGUGCGUAGGCGGUCUAUUAAGUCAGUUGUGAAAUACGGCAGCUCAACUGUCGAGGUGCAAUUGAUACUGAUGGACUUGAGUACUGAUGAGGUAAGCGGAAUGGACGGUGUAGCGGUGAAAUGCUUAGAUAUGACACAGAACACCGAUUGCGAAGGCAGCUCACUAAACUGUAACUGACGCUGAGGCACGAAAGCGUGGGGAGCAAACAGG